Molecule: non-coding RNA, 429 nt
Organism: Salvia hispanica
Lineage: Eukaryota; Viridiplantae; Streptophyta; Magnoliopsida; Lamiales; Lamiaceae
Source: RefSeq, a predicted model, not a curated record
ACUAAUCAUCCUGUGGAGAAAUGUUUUCUCCUACAUGGUUUUCCUCCAGGUUUUGGCAAAGGCAGAGGAAAGGCACCUCAAGCUACUGCUCAUUCUGGAAAUGCAACCUCUAAUCAACAUAAAUCUGUUAAUUUUGUGGAGGAGACAGUAUCUGCUUCUCCUUUGCCCUUGUCUUCAUCUACUGCAUCUGCUGUUGUGAAUCUCCCAAGUAUUGAUCAAUAUCAACAGCUUAUCAGUCUUUUGCAGAGCCAACACCUCCAUAACUCCACUUCUUUGGCUAGCAACUCCACCUCUGUCAGUCACUCUCAGCCAUUAAACAAUUUUUCUGCUAAUGCAUCUGUCAACCUCCCAAAUGGCCAUACUGCUCCUGUUACUCACCUAGGAAGCUAUACUGGGGACUGUGAUUUGGAGGGGUAACCGUGUUGGCAA